RNAcentral lists this non-coding RNA (24 nucleotides) under Arabidopsis thaliana (thale cress). The record is from RNAcentral. Lineage: Eukaryota; Viridiplantae; Streptophyta; Magnoliopsida; Brassicales; Brassicaceae.
UAUAGUUGAAGGUUCCCACCAUUG